UCCUUGGUGGUUCAGUGGUUAGGACUCUGUGUUCUCACUGCCGAGGGCCCAGGUUUAAUCCCUGGUCGGGGAA
Molecule: non-coding RNA, 73 nt
Organism: Bos taurus (domestic cattle)
Lineage: Eukaryota; Metazoa; Chordata; Mammalia; Artiodactyla; Bovidae
Source: Rfam